This 545-nucleotide ribosomal RNA is filed under the name Aspergillus flavus. RNAcentral describes it as "eukaryotic LSU rRNA". The stretch from base 164 to 317 matches the Rfam family "5.8S ribosomal RNA". Lineage: Eukaryota; Fungi; Ascomycota; Eurotiomycetes; Eurotiales; Aspergillaceae. The record is from RNAcentral.
CGAGCCCAACCUCCCACCCGUGUUUACUGUACCUUAGUUGCUUCGGCGGGCCCGCCAUUCAUGGCCGCCGGGGGCUCUCAGCCCCGGGCCCGCGCCCGCCGGAGACACCACGAACUCUGUCUGAUCUAGUGAAGUCUGAGUUGAUUGUAUCGCAAUCAGUUAAAACUUUCAACAAUGGAUCUCUUGGUUCCGGCAUCGAUGAAGAACGCAGCGAAAUGCGAUAACUAGUGUGAAUUGCAGAAUUCCGUGAAUCAUCGAGUCUUUGAACGCACAUUGCGCCCCCUGGUAUUCCGGGGGGCAUGCCUGUCCGAGCGUCAUUGCUGCCCAUCAAGCACGGCUUGUGUGUUGGGUCGUCGUCCCCUCUCCGGGGGGGACGGGCCCCAAAGGCAGCGGCGGCACCGCGUCCGAUCCUCGAGCGUAUGGGGCUUUGUCACCCGCUCUGUAGGCCCGGCCGGCGCUUGCCGAACGCAAAUCAAUCUUUUCCAGGUUGACCUCGGAUCAGGUAGGGAUACCCGCUGAACUUAAGCAUAUCAUAAGGGAGAAAA